This 478-nucleotide ribosomal RNA is filed under the name uncultured bacterium. RNAcentral's name for it is "partial 16S ribosomal RNA". It matches the Rfam family "Bacterial small subunit ribosomal RNA", at positions 28 to 523 of the family's 1533-position model. The record is from RNAcentral.
GACGAACGCUGGCGGCGUGCUUAACACAUGCAGGUCGAACGGUAAGGCCCUUCGGGGUACACGAGUGGCGAACGGGUGAGUAACACGUGGGUGAUCUGCCCUGCACUUCGGGAUAAGCCUGGGAAACUGGGUCUAAUACCGGAUAGGACCACUGCCUGCAUGGGUGGUGGUGGAAAGCUUUUGCGGUGUGGGAUGGGCCCGCGGCCUAUCAGCUUGUUGGUGGGGUGAUGGCCUACCAAGGCGACGACGGGUAGCCGGCCUGAGAGGGUGACCGGCCACACUGGGACUGGGAUACGGCCCAGACGCCUACGGGAGGCAGCAGUGGGGAAUAUUGCACAAUGGGCGCAAGCCUGAUGCAGCGACGCCGCGUGGGGGAUGACGGCCUUCGGGUUGUAAACCUCUUUCAGCACCGACGAAGCGCAAGUGACGGUAGGUGCAGAAGAAGGACCGGCCAACUACGUGCCAGCCGCCGCAGUAA